RNAcentral lists this ribosomal RNA (206 nucleotides) under uncultured bacterium. RNAcentral describes it as "partial 16S ribosomal RNA". It matches the Rfam family "Bacterial small subunit ribosomal RNA", at positions 568 to 774 of the family's 1533-position model. The record is from RNAcentral.
UGCGUAGGUGGUUUCUUAAGUCAGAGGUGAAAGGCUACGGCUCAACCAUAGUAAGCCUUUGAAACUGGGAAACUUGAGUGCAGGAGAGGAGAGUGGAAUUCCUAGUGUAGCGGUGAAAUGCGUAGAUAUUAGGAGGAACACCAGUUGCGAAGGCGGCUCUCUGGACUGUAACUGACACUGAGGCACGAAAGCGUGGGGAGCAAACA